GACGAACGCUGGCGGCGUGCUUAACACAUGCAAGUCGAACGGAAAGGCCCUGCUUUUGUGGGGUGCUCGAGUGGCGAACGGGUGAGUAACACGUGAGUAACCUGCCCUUGACUUUGGGAUAACUUCAGGAAACUGGGGCUAAUACCGGAUAGGAGCUCCUGCUGCAUGGUGGGGGUUGGAAAGUUUCGGCGGUUGGGGAUGGACUCGCGGCUUAUCAGCUUGUUGGUGGGGUAGUGGCUUACCAAGGCUUUGACGGGUAGCCGGCCUGAGAGGGUGACCGGCCACAUUGGGACUGAGAUACGGCCCAGACUCCUCCGGGAGGCAGCAGUGGGGAAUAUUGCACAAUGGGCGGAAGCCUGAUGCAGCAACGCCGCGUGCGGGAUGACGGCCUUCGGGUUGUAAACCGCUUUCGCCUGCGACGAAGCGUGAGUGACGGUAAUGGGUAAAGAAGCACCGGCUAACUACGUG
This 468-nucleotide ribosomal RNA is filed under the name uncultured bacterium. Its description in RNAcentral is "partial 16S ribosomal RNA". It matches the Rfam family "Bacterial small subunit ribosomal RNA", at positions 28 to 507 of the family's 1533-position model. The record is from RNAcentral.